GGACGUGAGGGUGAUCUGGCUGCAACGUCUGUCACCCCACUGAUCGCCAGGGUUGAUUCGGCUGAUCUGGCUGGUUAGGCAGGUGUCCCCUUCCUCCCUCACCACUCCAUCUGCCUUUCUCCCCAAGCUGUGCUCUUGGUCGAAGAUGGCUUUCCCCGCUAGAGGAGAGGACUAACUGUUCUUGUAGCUGCACUCUCCUGCUAGAAUCUCCAGACAAGCUCUCAGGGUCCAUUUGUAGAGCAUAGGGUAGUCAAGCUUCCAAGACUCCAGACACAUUCAAAUGAGGUGCUGCAUGUGGCAACCUGCCAUUCAAG
Non-coding RNA from Myotis brandtii (Brandt's bat), 314 nucleotides. Lineage: Eukaryota; Metazoa; Chordata; Mammalia; Chiroptera; Vespertilionidae. The record is from Rfam.